AUUGAACGCUGGCGGCGUGCCUAAUACAUGCAAGUCGAACGCAGUGGGGACGGGUGAGUAACACGUGGGUAACCUCCCAUCAGAGGGGAUAACACUUGGAAACAGGUGCUAAACCGAUACUGAUGGAUGGACCCGCGGUGCAUUAGCUAGUUGGUGGGGUAACGGCUCACCAGGGCCACGAUGCAUAGCGGACCGGAGGGGGGGAUCGGCCACACGGGACCGAAGACACGGCCCAGACUCCUACGGGGGGCAGCAGUAGGGAAUCUUCGGCAAUGGACGAAAGUCUGACCGGGCAACGCCCGUGAGUGAAGAAGGUUUUCGGAUCGUAAAGCUCUGUUGUUAGAGAAGCGGUAUCUAACCAGAAAGCCACGGCUAACUACGUGCCAGCAGCCGCGGUAAUAC
Molecule: ribosomal RNA, 402 nt
Filed under: uncultured bacterium
Lineage: Bacteria
Description: partial 16S ribosomal RNA
Rfam family: Bacterial small subunit ribosomal RNA
Source: RNAcentral